AGAGUUUGAUCAUGGCUCAGAACGAACGCUGGCGGCGCGCCUAAUACAUGCAAGUCGAGCGAGAAGGUGUAGCAAUACACUUGUAAAGCGGCGAACGGGUGAGGAAUACAUGGGUAAUCUACCAUCGAGUGGGGAAUAACCAACCGAAAGGUUGGCUAAUACCGCGUACGCCUCCGAGUCUUCGGGUUCGGAGGGAAAGCUGCACUGUGAGUGUAGCGCUCUUUGAUGAGCUCAUGUCCUAUCAGCUUGUUGGUAGGGUAACGGCCUACCAAGGCUUUGACGGGUAGCUGGUCUGAGAGGACGAUCAGCCACACUGGCACUGCGACACGGGCCAGACUCCUACGGGAGGCAGCAGUAAGGAAUAUUGCGCAAUGGGCGAAAGCCUGACGCAGCGACGCCGCGUGGGGGAUGAAGGUCUUCGGAUUGUAAACCCCUUUCGGGAGGGAAGAUGGAGCGAGCAAUCGUUCGGACGGUACCUCCAGAAGCAGCCACGGCCAACUUCGUGCCAGCAGCCGCGGUAAUACGAAGGUGGCAAGCGUUGUUCGGAUUCACUGGGCGUGCAGGGUGUGUAGGCGGUUUGGUAAGCCUUCUGUUAAAGCUUCGGGCCCAACCCGGAAAGCGCAGAGGGUACUGCCAGGCUAGAGGGUGGGAGAGGAGCGCGGAAUUCCCGGUGUAGCGGUGAAAUGCGUAGAGAUCGGGAGGAAGGCCGGUGGCGAAGGCGGCGCUCUGGAACAUACCUGACGCUGAGACACGAAAGCGUGGGGAGCAAACAGGAUUAGAUACCCUGGUAGUCCACGCCC
This 800-nucleotide ribosomal RNA is filed under the name uncultured bacterium. RNAcentral describes it as "bacterial SSU rRNA". It matches the Rfam family "Bacterial small subunit ribosomal RNA", at positions 8 to 802 of the family's 1533-position model. The record is from RNAcentral.